RNAcentral lists this long non-coding RNA (502 nucleotides) under Gossypium raimondii (Peruvian cotton). Its description in RNAcentral is "long non-coding RNA (GRAI_LNC003595)". Lineage: Eukaryota; Viridiplantae; Streptophyta; Magnoliopsida; Malvales; Malvaceae. The record is from RNAcentral.
AAAUAAAAAGUUUUGGGGAAUAAAAGUUUGAGGGAAAGUAAAUAGGGGGAAGUAAAAUUUUGGAGGGAAAAUAUUUUUAAAAAAAAAUUGAAGGGGGGAGGGUUUGGGGUAAAUGAGAGGUGGGAUGGGAAGGGAAUAAAAGUUUUAGGGGAAAAGUGGGAGAGAGUAAAACUUUGGGGGAAAAUAAAAGGUUUUAAGGGUUUUGGGGAGUAAAAUUUUGAGAAAAAGUAAAUGGGAGAGUAAAAUUUUGGUGGGAAAUGGAUUUUGGGUAGAUUAGAGGGUUGGGAGUGGAGGAGAGUAAAAGUUUUGGGGGGAAAGUGGGAAGGAGUAAAAGUUUUGAGGGAAAAGUAAAAAGGUUUGAGAGUUUGGGGUAAAAAUGUAAAAUAUUAUAGUUUGAUAUUCAAAUUAUUCGAAUUAUUCGAGUUAUUCGAAUUCGAAAACUCAACUCGAUUCGAACUCGAAAUUUGAAAAAAAAAUUCGAGUUGAUUCGAUUAACUCAAAU